AGAGUUUGAUUAUGGCUCAGGACGAACGCUGGCGGCAUGCUUAACACAUGCAAGUCGAACGGACUGAUUCCUUCGGGAUGAAAGUUAGUGGCGAACGGGUGAGUAAUGUAUGAGCAACCUGCCUCUAUCAACGGGAUAACACUUAGAAAUAGGUGCUAAUACGGUAUAAGACCACGGUAUCGCAUGGUACUGCGGUAAAAGAUUUUAUCGGAUAGAGAUGGGCUCAUAUCCCAUUAGGUAGUUGGUGAGAUAACAGCCCACCAAGCCUGCGAUGGGUAGCCGAGCUGAGAGGCUGAUCGGCCACAUUGGGACUGAAACACGGCCCAG
RNAcentral lists this ribosomal RNA (327 nucleotides) under uncultured bacterium. RNAcentral's name for it is "bacterial SSU rRNA". It matches the Rfam family "Bacterial small subunit ribosomal RNA", at positions 8 to 334 of the family's 1533-position model. The record is from RNAcentral.